RNAcentral lists this ribosomal RNA (396 nucleotides) under uncultured Glomeromycotina. Its description in RNAcentral is "SSU rRNA". It matches the Rfam family "Eukaryotic small subunit ribosomal RNA", at positions 569 to 971 of the family's 1831-position model. Lineage: Eukaryota; Fungi; Glomeromycota. The record is from RNAcentral.
AGCAGCCGCGGUAAUUCCAGCUCCAAUAGCGUAUAUUAAAGUUGUUGCAGUUAAAAAGCUCGUAGUUGAAUUUCGGGAUCAAUACGUCGGUCGUGCUUCGGUACGUACUGGCGUAAUUGAUUUCUCCCUUCUGACGAACCAUGAUGUCAUUAACUUGGUGUCAUGGGAAAUCAGGACUGUUACUUUGAAAAAAUUGAGUGUUUAAAGCAGGCUCACGCUUGAAUACAUUAGCAUGGAAUAAUGAAAUAGGACGUUCGAUCCUAUUUUGUUGGUUUCUAGGAUUGACGUAAUGAUUAAUAGGGAUAGUUGGGGGCAUUAGUAUUCAAUUGUCAGAGGUGAAAUUCUUGGAUUUAUUGAAGACUAACUACUGCGAAAGCAUUUGCCAAGGAUGUUUUC